Long non-coding RNA from Thalassophryne amazonica, 167 nucleotides. RefSeq lists it as uncharacterized. Lineage: Eukaryota; Metazoa; Chordata; Actinopteri; Batrachoidiformes; Batrachoididae. The transcript has 3 exons. The record is from RefSeq and is a predicted model, not a curated record.
UUUAAAGUGAUACAACACAAACAUAAACAAAUAGUUUUUGUUUAUUUUUUUAUUUACAGGUACUUCAUUCUAUCAUGUAUUUAUCCAUAUAUGACAUUUUACCUAAUAUGUUUAGAUACUGGAAAUAUAAGGCCAAUUUUGGUGCAACCCCAGCGCUCUACGAUACC